CAGGACGAACGCUGGCGGCGUGCCUAACACAUGCAAGUCGAACGAAGUAUAUUUUCGGAAUGUACUUAGUGGCGGACGGGUGAGUAACGCGUGAACAAUCUGCCCUAUACAAAGGAAUAGCCUCGGGAAACUGGGAUUAAAACCGUAUGACACUUUUAAGUCGCAUGACAUAGAAGCCAAAUUGAAUAAGAGGUAUAGGAUGAGUUCGCGUCUGAUUAGCUAGUUGGUGGGGUAAAGGCCUACCAAGGCGACGAUCAGUAGCCGGCCUGAGAGGGUGAACGGCCACACUGGAACUGAGACACGGUCCAGACUCCUACGGGAGGCAGCAGUGGGGAAUAUUGCACAAUGGAGGAAACUCUGAUGCAGCGACGCCGCGUGAGUGAAGAAGGUCUUCGGAUACGUAAAACUCUGUCCUUGGUGAAGAAGAAAAUGACGGUAGCCAAGGAGGAACGCCCCGGCUAACUACGUGCCAGCCGCCGC
RNAcentral lists this ribosomal RNA (480 nucleotides) under uncultured bacterium. Its description in RNAcentral is "bacterial SSU rRNA". It matches the Rfam family "Bacterial small subunit ribosomal RNA", at positions 25 to 518 of the family's 1533-position model. The record is from RNAcentral.